GAUGUCAAGACGGUUGUCCCAUACACCCGAGGACA
This 35-nucleotide transfer RNA is filed under the name Parus major (Great Tit). RNAcentral's name for it is "partial tRNA-Phe". The record is from RNAcentral. Lineage: Eukaryota; Metazoa; Chordata; Aves; Passeriformes; Paridae.